GCUUGAUUGCAAGACAUACAGGUCGAGCAAGGAUGAAAAUCGGACUUAGUGAUCCGGUGGUUCUGCGUGGAAGGGCCAGCGCUCAACGGAUAAAAGCUACCCUGGGGAUAACAGGCUUAUCUCCCCCAAGAGUCCACAUCGACGGGGAGGUUUGGCACCUCGAUGUCGGCUCAUCACAUCCUGGGGCUGUAGUAGGUCCCAAGGGUUGGGCUGUUCGCCCAUUAAAGUGGUACGCGAGCUGGGUUCAGAACGUCGUG
This 257-nucleotide ribosomal RNA is filed under the name Clostridioides difficile. Its description in RNAcentral is "partial 23S ribosomal RNA". It matches the Rfam family "Bacterial large subunit ribosomal RNA", at positions 2367 to 2623 of the family's 2925-position model. The record is from RNAcentral. Lineage: Bacteria; Bacillati; Bacillota; Clostridia; Peptostreptococcales; Peptostreptococcaceae.